This 254-nucleotide ribosomal RNA is filed under the name uncultured bacterium. Its description in RNAcentral is "partial 16S ribosomal RNA". It matches the Rfam family "Bacterial small subunit ribosomal RNA", at positions 524 to 776 of the family's 1533-position model. The record is from RNAcentral.
UACGAAGGGGGGCUAGCGUUGCUCGGAAUCACUGGGCGUAAAGGGCGCGUAGGCGGCCAUUCAAGUCGGGGGUGAAAGCCUGUGGCUCAACCACAGAAUUGCCUUCGAUACUGUUUGGCUUGAGUUUGGUAGAGGUUGGUGGAACUGCGAGUGUAGAGGUGAAAUUCGUAGAUAUUCGCAAGAACACCAGUGGCGAAGGCGGCCAACUGGACCAACACUGACGCUGAGGCGCGAAAGCGUGGGGAGCAAACAGG